Molecule: long non-coding RNA, 302 nt
Organism: Hemicordylus capensis (graceful crag lizard)
Lineage: Eukaryota; Metazoa; Chordata; Lepidosauria; Squamata; Cordylidae
Exons: 3
Source: RefSeq, a predicted model, not a curated record
UCUUUAAACGGAAACACCGCGUUGAGCCUACUCCAGCACCACCUCCAACUCCCACAGGGGGCUCCCCGGCAGUAUCCAGAGUCACCAUCGAUGAGGAGGUGCCCCAGGUUGGGACUGGGGCUGACUCUUUGGGGAAGAUCUGACAACUGGAGUGGAGAAAAUGGAAAGAGCUGAGGUCAUCCUCUGCUGGGCUGAAUUCUUGACGUCCGUUAUUGACGGUAUUAAGGAUGCCAAGUCCUGGGAAAGUGAGAUGCUGUCGUAUGAAAAAGACAAGGCUGUGGACGCCGUACUGGAGAGUGAGA